GGAUUAGAUACCCUGGUAGUCCACACCGUAAACGCUGUCUACUAGCUGUGUGUGAUUUUAAAUCGUGCGUAGCGCAGCUAACGCGAUAAGUAGACCGCCUGGGGAGUACGGCCGCAAGGUUAAAACUCAAAUGAAUUGACGGGGGCCCGCACAAGCGGUGGAGCAUGUGGUUUAAUUCGAAGCAACGCGAAGAACCUUACCAGCCCUUGACAUCGGGAUCGCGCAGACCAGAGAUGGACUGCUUCAGUUCGGCUGGAUCCAUGACAGGUGUUGCAUGGCUGUCGUCAGCUCGUGUCG
This 297-nucleotide ribosomal RNA is filed under the name uncultured bacterium. RNAcentral describes it as "partial 16S ribosomal RNA". It matches the Rfam family "Bacterial small subunit ribosomal RNA", at positions 775 to 1067 of the family's 1533-position model. The record is from RNAcentral.